This 1196-nucleotide small RNA is filed under the name Pongo abelii (Sumatran orangutan). Its description in RNAcentral is "processed transcript". The record is from RNAcentral. Lineage: Eukaryota; Metazoa; Chordata; Mammalia; Primates; Hominidae.
GGAGACCCCGGGUGACGGGCCCGGCGCCGCUAACUGGACGGAACCCCAGCGUCCGCCGACAUGGCCUGGACCAAGUACCAGCUGUUCCUGGCCGGGCUCAUGCUCGUUACCGGCUCCAUCAACACGCUCUCGGCAAAGCGCUUCCUCCCAUCAACACAGUCGGCGGAGACAAGCUUGGCUAAAGGAGAUCCGAAAGCUUCAGAAGAGCACACACCUCUUGAUAAGGAAGCUCCCCUUCAGCCGCCUGGCAGCAGAAGCAUUUCUAGUUCAUCUCUUUGAGGACGCCUAUCUCCUCACCUUACAUGCCGGCCGAGUUACUCUCUUCCCAAAGGAUGUGCAACUGGCCCGGAGGAUCCGGGGCCUUGAGGAGGGACUCGGCUGAGCUCCUGCGCCCAGUGUUUCUGUCAGUCUUUCCUGCUCAGCCAGGGGGGAUGAUACCGGGGACUCUCCAGAGCCAUGACUAGAUCCAACGGAUUCUGCGAUGCUGUCUCUGAACAGUAUGUGUGUGUUGCUUUAAACAUUUUUUUUUUUUUGAGAAGGAGAAGACUGCAUGACUUUCCUCUGUAACAGAGGUAAUAUAUGAGACAAUCAACACCAUUCCAAAGGCCUGAAAAUAAUUUUCAGAUAAAGAGACUCCAAGGUUGACUUUAGUUUGUGAGUUACUUAUGUGACUAUUUGAGGAUUUUGAAAACAUCAGAUUUGCUGUGGUAUGGGAGAAAAGGAUAUGUACUUAUUAUUUUAGCUCUUUCUGUAAUAUUUACAUUUUUUACCAUAUGUACAUUUGUACUUUUAUUUUACACAUAAGGGAAAAAAUAAGACCACUUUGAGCAGUUGCCUGGAAGGCUGGGCAUUUCCAGCAUAUAGACCUCUGCCCUUCAGAGUAUCCUCACCAUUAGUGGCAGCAUCAAGUAACUGAGUGGACUGUGCUUGUCAACAGAUGUGUAGCUUUUCAGAAACUUAAUUGGGGAUGAAUAGAAAAUCUGUAAGCUUUGAUGUUCUGGUUCCUUCUAGUAAAUUCCUGUCAAAAUCAAUUCAGAAAUUCUAACUUGGAGAAUUUAACAUUUUACUCUUGUAAAUCAUAGAAGAUGUAUCAUAUCAGUUCAGGAUUUUAAAGUACCUUUUCGAUGCUUUUACGGGUAUUUUUGUAGUUUCUUUUUAGAGAGAUAAUAAAAAUCAAAAUAAUUAUUUAAUGAAAA